AGUGAACGCUGGCGGCAGGCCUAAUACAUGCAAGUCGAACGGCAGCACAGCAGCGCUUGCUCUGUGGGUGGCGAGUGGCGGACGGGUGAGGAAUACAUGGGAAUCUGCCCAGUCGUGGGGGAUAACGUAUGGAAACGUACGCUAAUACCGCAUGCGCCCUUUGGGGGAAAGCCGGGGACCUUCGGGCCUGGCGCGAUUGGAUGAGCCCAUGUUCGAUUAGCUAGUUGGCGGGGUAAAGGCCCACCAAGGCGACGAUCGAUAGCUGGUCUGAGAGGAUGAUCAGCCACACUGGGACUGAGACACGGCCCAGACUCCUACGGGAGGCAGCAGUAGGGAAUAUUGGACAAUGGGCGCAAGCCUGAUCCAGCCAUGCCGCGUGAGUGAAGAAGGCCCUCGGGUUGUAAAGCUCUUUUGUCCGGAAAGAAAAGCAUUCGGUUAAUACCCGGGUGUUCUGACGGUACCGGAAGAAUAAGCACCGGCUAACUUCGU
RNAcentral lists this ribosomal RNA (489 nucleotides) under uncultured bacterium. Its description in RNAcentral is "partial 16S ribosomal RNA". It matches the Rfam family "Bacterial small subunit ribosomal RNA", at positions 29 to 506 of the family's 1533-position model. The record is from RNAcentral.